RNAcentral lists this ribosomal RNA (241 nucleotides) under uncultured bacterium. Its description in RNAcentral is "partial 16S ribosomal RNA". It matches the Rfam family "Bacterial small subunit ribosomal RNA", at positions 15 to 236 of the family's 1533-position model. The record is from RNAcentral.
GAUCAUGGCUCAGGACGAACGCUGGCGGCGCGCCUAACACACGCAAGUCGAACGGGGCUUACGGAUUCAGAAUCUUUCGGGAGGAAGAGCUGUAAGCCAAGUGGCGGACGGGUGAGUAACACGUGAGCAACCUGCCUUUGCGAGGGGGACAACAUCUGGAAACGGAUGCUAAUACCGCAUAAAGUCUAUAGAUCGCAUGAUUUAAAGACCAAAGAUUUAUCGCGCAAAGAUGGGCUCGCGU